GCGGAGGAAAAGAAACCAACAGGGAUUGCCCUAGUAACGGCGAGUGAAGCGGCAACAGCUCAAAUUUGAAAUCUGGCUUCGGCCCGAGUUGUAAUUUGUAGAGGAUGCUUUGGGCGCGGCUCUAACUGAGUUCCCUGGAACGGGACGCCACAGAGGGUGAGAGCCCCGUAUAGUUAGAUGCCUAGCCUAUGUAAAGCUCCUUCGACGAGUCGAGUAGUUUGGGAAUGCUGCUCUAAAUGGGAGGUAAAUUUCUUCUAAAGCUAAAUAUUGGCCAGAGACCGAUAGCGCACAAGUAGAGUGAUCGAAAGAUGAAAAGCACUUUGAAAAGAGGGUUAAAUAGCACGUGAAAUUGUUGAAAGGGAAGCGCUUGUGACCAGACUUGCGCCGGGCAGAUCAUCCGGUGUUCUCACCGGUGCACUCUGCCCGGCUCAGGCCAGCAUCGGUUCUCGUGGGGGGAUAAAGGUCCCGGGAACGUAGCUCCUUCGGGAGUGUUAUAGCCCGGGGCGUAAUGCCCUCGUGGGGACCGAGGUUCGCGCAUCUGCAAGGAUGCUGGCGUAAUGGUCAUCACCGACC
This 573-nucleotide ribosomal RNA is filed under the name Monodictys levis. Its description in RNAcentral is "eukaryotic LSU rRNA". It matches the Rfam family "Eukaryotic large subunit ribosomal RNA", at positions 50 to 649 of the family's 3401-position model. Lineage: Eukaryota; Fungi; Ascomycota; Dothideomycetes; Pleosporales. The record is from RNAcentral.